UACGUAGGGUGCGAGCGUUAAUCGGAAUUACUGGGCGUAAAGCGUGCGCAGGCGGGCUUUUAAGCCAGACGUGAAAUCCCCGGGCUCAACCUGGGAAUGGCAUUUGGGACUGCAAGGCUCGAGUGCGGCAGAGGAGACUGGAAUUCCUGGUGUAGCAGUGAAAUGCGUAGAUAUCAGGAGGAAUACCGAUGGCGAAGGCAGGUCUCUGGGCUGACACUGACGCUCAUGCACGAAAGCGUGGGGAGCAAACAGG
RNAcentral lists this ribosomal RNA (253 nucleotides) under uncultured bacterium. RNAcentral's name for it is "partial 16S ribosomal RNA". It matches the Rfam family "Bacterial small subunit ribosomal RNA", at positions 524 to 776 of the family's 1533-position model. The record is from RNAcentral.